AGUGAACGCUGGCGGUAGGCCUAACACAUGCAAGUCGAACGGCAGCACAGCAAGAGCUGGCUCUUACGGGUGGCGAGUGGCGGACGGGUGAGGAAUACAUCGGAAUCUACUUUUUCGUGGGGGAUAACGUAGGGAAACUUACGCUAAUACCGCAUACGACCUACGGGUGAAAGCAGGGGAUCUUCGGACCUUGCGCGAUUGAAUGAGCCGAUGUCGGAUUAGCUAGUUGGCGGGGUAAAGGCCCACCAAGGCGACGAUCCGUAGCUGGUCUGAGAGGAUGAUCAGCCACACUGGAACUGAGACACGGUCCAGACUCCUACGGGAGGCAGCAGUGGGGAAUAUUGGACAAUGGGCGCAAGCCUGAUCCAGCCAUACCGCGUGGGUGAAGAAGGCCUUCGGGUUGUAAAGCCCUUUUGUUGGGAAAGAAAAGCAGCAGGUUAAUACCCCGCUGUUCUGACGGUACCCAAAGAAUAAGCACCGGCUAACUUCGUG
RNAcentral lists this ribosomal RNA (492 nucleotides) under uncultured bacterium. RNAcentral's name for it is "partial 16S ribosomal RNA". It matches the Rfam family "Bacterial small subunit ribosomal RNA", at positions 29 to 507 of the family's 1533-position model. The record is from RNAcentral.